AGUUAUUUCUCUCCUCUCAUUUCUGUGAACAGAAACGAAAUGGGAAAGGAGAAGAAGGGGAGGAAAAAGAGAAAGAACGGAGAAAGAAGAAGAAGAAGAGAGGAAGAAGAGGUGCAGCAGCCUUCUUGCUGUUGUACACUGCUUCAGCUGCUGCUGUUCAGCCAUGGCUGUUGUAGAUAUGGAUGCCUGCAAGUGCCAUGUGCUACUCACAACAAGAAGAAGCUGCAUUGGUCUUGAUCCAAAUGAAGACUUGAGUCAAGGACUGCUGAUCAACUGCAUGCAUGUACCAAGAAGAUGUAAUUGAAGGAAUCUUAUAACUACAUUUGCUGAGGAUAUGCGAGGCUAGGACAUUGGUGAAGGAUUUCAUAUAUGAAAUCUCAGGUUUUAAAGCUGGAGCAAAGAAGAUCAGAAGAUCAGAAGAUCAGAAUAUUGGUUGUAGAUGAAGUCAUGGACAAGGAGUGAUUAUAAAAAAGGACUUUGAUACUUUUGUGUUUUAUAUUGUAAAUUAAGUGUAAGUGGUAUUAUGAAUUUUGUUGUAACCUGUGGAUGUAAUAAAUGGGCCUGUAAUAUUAUGAAGUUAUCAUUGUAGUUGAGCACCACAUGUAUAUCAUGAUCCUUAUGGAAUUUUACAUAUCUGAUUUUACAA
Molecule: long non-coding RNA, 646 nt
Organism: Macadamia integrifolia
Lineage: Eukaryota; Viridiplantae; Streptophyta; Magnoliopsida; Proteales; Proteaceae
Exons: 3
Source: RefSeq, a predicted model, not a curated record